UACGGAGGGUGCAAGCGUUAUCCGGAUUCACUGGGUUUAAAGGGUGCGUAGGAGGGCAGGUAAGUCAGUGGUGAAAUCCCCGAGCUUAACUUGGGAACUGCCGUUGAUACUAUCUGUCUUGAAUAUUGUGGAGGUAAGCGGAAUAUGUCAUGUAGCGGUGAAAUGCUUAGAUAUGACAUAGAACACCAAUUGCGAAGGCAGCUGGCUACACAAAUAUUGACACUGAGGCACGAAAGCGUGGGGAUCAAACAGG
RNAcentral lists this ribosomal RNA (253 nucleotides) under uncultured bacterium. RNAcentral's name for it is "partial 16S ribosomal RNA". It matches the Rfam family "Bacterial small subunit ribosomal RNA", at positions 524 to 776 of the family's 1533-position model. The record is from RNAcentral.